UGCAGUCGAGCGGAUGAAGGGAGCUUGCUCCUGGAUUCAGCGGCGGACGGGUGAGUAAUGCCUAGGAAUCUGCCUGGUAGUGGGGGAUAACGUCCGGAAACGGGCGCUAAUACCGCAUACGUCCUGAGGGAGAAAGUGGGGGAUCUUCGGACCUCACGCUAUCAGAUGAGCCUAGGUCGGAUUAGCUAGUUGGUGGGGUAAAGGCCUACCAAGGCGACGAUCCGUAACUGGUCUGAGAGGAUGAUCAGUCACACUGGAACUGAGACACGGUCCAGACUCCUACGGGAGGCAGCAGUGGGGAAUAUUGGACAAUGGGCGAAAGCCUGAUCCAGCCAUGCCGCGUGUGUGAAGAAGGUCUUCGGAUUGUAAAGCACUUUAAGUUGGGAGGAAGGGCAGUAAGUUAAUACCUUGCUGUUUUGACGUUACCAACAGAAUAAGCACCGGCUAACUUCGUGCCAGCAGCCGCGGUAAUACGAAGGGUGCAAGCGUUAAUCGGAUAUACUGGGCGUAAAGCGCGCGUAGGUGGUUCAGCAAGUUGGAUGUGAAAUCCCCGGGCUCAACCUGGGAACUGCAUCCAAAACUACUGAGCUAGAGUACGGUAGAGGGUGGUGGAAUUUCCUGUGUAGC
This 627-nucleotide ribosomal RNA is filed under the name Pseudomonas sp. Horo_10. RNAcentral's name for it is "bacterial SSU rRNA". It matches the Rfam family "Bacterial small subunit ribosomal RNA", at positions 56 to 679 of the family's 1533-position model. The record is from RNAcentral. Lineage: Bacteria; Pseudomonadati; Pseudomonadota; Gammaproteobacteria; Pseudomonadales; Pseudomonadaceae. RNAcentral also lists the same sequence under 1 other name.